UCCCAGUUAACCCGGGCAGUCUCAUUAGAGUCCUCGACUUUACUCGCUAGCAACUAAUGAUAAGGGUUGCGCUCGUUGCGGGACUUAACCCAACACCUCACGGCACGAGCUGACGACAGCCAUGCAGCACCUGUUCAGCAGCCCUUGCGGGAAAUAACAUUUCUGCUAUCGUCUACUGUAUGUCAAGUCUGGGUAAGGUUCUUCGCGUUGCAUCGAAUUAAACCACAUGCUCCACUGCUUGUGCGGGCCCCCGUCAAUUCUUUUGAGUUUCACCCUUGCGAGUGUACUCCCCAGGCGGUAUACUUAUCGCGUUGGCUUCGACACAGCCGGGGUUGAGCCCAGCUACAUCAAGUAUACAUCGUUUACAGCAAAGACUAC
This 378-nucleotide unclassified non-coding RNA is filed under the name uncultured Chlamydiales bacterium. RNAcentral describes it as "contains 16S-23S intergenic spacer region". The record is from RNAcentral. Lineage: Bacteria; Pseudomonadati; Chlamydiota; Chlamydiia; Chlamydiales.